GAAAGAUCCCUGAGUGUUUUUGUAAGUGUUGGAGAUCCACAGUAGAAAACACCUGCCGAUUUAUGGAACAUCUUAGUAUAUAUCUUUGUAAUUAAAAGUAAGAUUUGCCACUUGAUUUUUUUUCAGACGUGACUCACCUAUACGGGCGUUCUUGUGAGCAUUGGCCAAAUCAGAGAACACCUUUCUCCAGUUUGGCCUUGCAAAAUGUGUCCGAAUCUGCAAAAUAGCAGUCAGGAAAGGAAGCAACCAUGGUGCGUCUUUUUAUUUUGCAGGUAGCAGGGGGAGUGAGAAGAGAAGAACCUUGCUGCCGGAGACGAUAUCCACACCAUUUUUUGCAUGUUGGAGUGAUUGAACCAUGGCAAUCAGAGCUGACCUUGCAUCGCCUUCCUCAUACACGCUGGUCAGGAGAUCCUUCAGUAUGCUGAUGAAAGGAGUUGCACCGAUUCCAAGCCCAAUAAGCAAAAGAAUGUCAUAUUUCCUGUAAUUUUGAGCUGGUGCACCAAAAGGGCCAUCUAUAAAGACCUUGGGAAACCUAAAUGAAGGGAGAGCGGUGCAGAAGUGAUGGAGAAGGGAUGCCUGUAAACAUUGAAGAGUUUCAAGCCAAAGCAUUGGAAAAAUCAUGACUUGGACGAUGAGAUGGUAUGGUACGGCACCAUUCGAAAGGCGAAACAUCUGGGCAUUUUACAAAAAGGUACAUCCCACUUUUGUAUUUGAAAGUAGGGGGCUUCUUCAUGUGAAUAGAGAGCACAUUUCCUGGGUAAAUUGCUGCCUGCAUGAUACAUUGGAUCAUCAGUUACUACUUACUAAUGAACUGAAAGAACUCAUACUUGGUACUCAUUCAUGUAUAAUCUAUAGCUUACCUUAA
Molecule: long non-coding RNA, 865 nt
Organism: Brachypodium distachyon (stiff brome)
Lineage: Eukaryota; Viridiplantae; Streptophyta; Magnoliopsida; Poales; Poaceae
Exons: 3
Source: RefSeq, a predicted model, not a curated record